This 477-nucleotide ribosomal RNA is filed under the name uncultured bacterium. RNAcentral's name for it is "partial 16S ribosomal RNA". It matches the Rfam family "Bacterial small subunit ribosomal RNA", at positions 28 to 524 of the family's 1533-position model. The record is from RNAcentral.
AAUCAACGCUGGCGGCGUGCCUAACACAUGCAAGUCGAGCGGUAAGGCCCUUUCGGGGGUACACGAGCGGCGAACGGGUGAGUAACACGUGGGUGACCUGCCCUCAGCUCUGGGAUAAGCCUGGGAAACCGGGUCUAAUACCGGAUAUGACUCCAUGACGCAUGUUGUGGGGUGGAAAGCCUUGUGCGGCUGAGGAUGGGCCCGCGGCCUAUCAGCUUGUUGGUGGGGUGAGGCCUACCAAGGCGACGACGGGUAGCCGGCCUGAGAGGGCGACCGGCCACACUGGGACUGAGACACGGCCCAGACUCCUACGGGAGGCAGCAGUGGGGAAUCUUGCGCAAUGGGCGAAAGCCUGACGCAGCGACGCCGCGUGGAGGUAGAAGGCCACGGGUCAUGAACUUACUUUCUCAGAGAAGAAGCAAUGACGGUAUCUGAGGAAUAAGCAUCGGCUAACUCUGUGCCAGCCGCCGCAGUAAU